RNAcentral lists this transfer RNA (83 nucleotides) under Polulichloris maxima. RNAcentral describes it as "tRNA-Tyr". It matches the Rfam family "tRNA". Rfam says of the family: Transfer RNA (tRNA) molecules are approximately 80 nucleotides in length. Their secondary structure includes four short double-helical elements and three loops (D, anti-codon, and T loops). Lineage: Eukaryota; Viridiplantae; Chlorophyta; Trebouxiophyceae; Watanabeales; Watanabeaceae. The record is from RNAcentral.
GGGUCGAUGCCCGAGUGGUUAAAGGGGACGGAUUGUAAAUCCGUUGGUAUAUGCCUACGCUGGUUCAAAUCCAGCUCGGCCCA